UACGGAGGGUGCAAGCGUUGUUCGGAAUUACUGGGCGUAAAGCGCACGUAGGCGGGUUUGCAAGUCGAUUGUGAAAGCCCCGGGCUCAAUCCGGGAAUUGCAGUCGAAACUGCUAAUCUUGAAUGCCCAAGAGGGUGACGGAAUUCCUGGUGUAGAAGUGAAAUUCGUAGAUAUCAGGAGGAACACCGGAGGCGAAGGCGGUUGCCUGGUGGUGCAUUGACGCUGAGGUGCGAAAGCGUGGGGAGCAAACAGG
This 253-nucleotide ribosomal RNA is filed under the name uncultured bacterium. Its description in RNAcentral is "partial 16S ribosomal RNA". It matches the Rfam family "Bacterial small subunit ribosomal RNA", at positions 524 to 776 of the family's 1533-position model. The record is from RNAcentral.